Equus quagga is the source of this 1155-nucleotide long non-coding RNA. RefSeq lists it as uncharacterized. The record is from RefSeq and is a predicted model, not a curated record. The transcript is spliced from 4 exons. Lineage: Eukaryota; Metazoa; Chordata; Mammalia; Perissodactyla; Equidae.
UAAAACAACCAUAAACCUACAGCAGGCUUUGAAAAAUAAAAGUAUCUUCCAGGUUCUACAAAACAGGCACAUGCACGCUGCACCGGAAAAGGCACCGCUGACAAAUCGAACCCACAAGAACCAGCAGAGGAUUCCAAGGUUCUAAGAGGUGAUGGGACCACAAGACGGAAGGACCCUUUCCAGACACCUAUCAGACUUCACAUGAGAAAGAAAGAAACUUCUGUUGAGGCUCUGAUGGAAGACUCAAAAGCAAGUACUUUACUUGGGAGGUGAUCCCAGGAAGCCCACUGAUGAAAUGGGGAAGUGACAGUGGAAGAGAGGAACACCAAUGAACGAGACAAGACUGCAAACCUAGCAGAGCGGAGAGCUUAACAUAUCCUGGUUUUCCUGCUGCACGUGGGGUUGAAAAGCACGCGCAGUGGAUUGAAAAUCACAACUAUCCUGCCAAGCGCAGCAGGCUAGCGUUUCCUGGAAUCUGGUCUUAUUUGGAGCCAUACAAGCUGCUGCUUUCUGAAAGGAGGAAACUGAAAACAACAACAAAAGCAGAAUUUCUCUUUUAUUCCCGACUGGAAGAAAGAAAAUCAGGACCAUGAGCUAUCCACCGCUGAUGUCACGUUUGUCUUUAUACGUGACGAUUCCAUUCACCACACCUCUUCUCCGUUGUGUGGAAGCUCCAUCUUACCUCGUCUGCUUCCACCAAGCCAACUCCAUGCCUUUUAUUCAGGCAAAGGCCUAUGUUUACUCAAUUAUUAGGAAUUAAAGAGGUUUAGAACUGUGAGAACAUUUUUAUUGGGUCAGUUUUUUAUUUUAAUUAAUUUUUUAAGCGUAUUUCUCUUGAGACUUUGUUUUUAAUGUUGUGCCUGUACCCCCGUUUCCCCCCAGGCCUGUUACUUAAAUUGUACAUGAUCCUAUAGCAUGGCGAUUUUUAGUAACACCUCUGCCAGGUUACUGUUUCUUGUUGUAAAUUAGCAUUUCCUUGGUUACUAAAAUCAUUCUUUCUUUUGUUUUCUGGCCACUUGUAUAUCUCUCUUUAUAUCCCUGUUGUUGUGACACGCAUGUCAUAACUUUCACCCAUUUUUCUCUUGGCUUAUUUGUCUUUUUCUAAUGUGUAUGAGGUUUUAAAAAAUAUAUUCUCAACAUGUUAACAUAUCUUAC